Long non-coding RNA from Brienomyrus brachyistius, 3759 nucleotides. RefSeq lists it as uncharacterized. Lineage: Eukaryota; Metazoa; Chordata; Actinopteri; Osteoglossiformes; Mormyridae. The transcript has 6 exons. The record is from RefSeq and is a predicted model, not a curated record.
UUUUGCAGCUUUAGUGACCCCUUCCCUUGUUAAGCCCAGUAGGACAAGUGUUGACGUAAUGUCUCAGCAACCCUGCAAAGCACAUCAUCUGUUUCCCUGUGUCACAACCACCUUAGAGUGAGGCCCCCUGCCCUGCCUGCCUGCAAGUCGGUUCCUGUUUUCAGUGUUACAAAGUUUAGCACAAAGUUUAGCCCCUCACUAACUAAAUGUUUUAAGACUUCUUGAGAUUACACGUGACAGAAAGUUCGGGCGAAGAAAACGUUUGGAGGACAUGCUUACCAACAAAUAAUUUUACAGUUGAAGAACUUGAGAGGGCAGUGAAAGAGGAAUUAAAUGUACCUGACAGCUUUGUUCUGCAUUACCUGGAUACGGAAUUUGGAGAAUUUUUUUUUCAUUGACUUCUACAGCUACUUUGAAGGACAAAGAUACCAUUGAGGUGGUUUUUGUAGAGCCUGUGUUUAUCACUUUAACGGCAAUAGACUGCCCUCAGAAUACCUCCACUUCCUGUCAACUGUGUUUUCAGUCAAUUCAUCAGAUGUCUCAUCUGCUCAGCAUGGAUUAGAUGAUACAGUGUUGCUAUCCCCUCUGAGGAGUCAAGGGUUGCGUUCACAACACUGGCCAGCUCACUUUGACAUUCCUGAAUUUCCAUAUGACACAGAGCUAACUCUGCAGACAGGAAAUGAUGAGUUUCUUAAAAACGGGGUUCUCUUAAACAAUCACAGUGUGAGGUUUCAGAUUUCUCACACUAUUCAAAAAGUAUUCCAGUACUGUGCAUACCCCACCAGCAAUCAGGUAUGUGCGGUUGCACAGGCCUUAAUUGAAAAGUAUCCGUGCUUGAGGGAGCCUGGUCAUUGUCUGGGUAUAAUGGUUGGUUAUCCAGAUUGAAGAAUAAAAUGGCCAACUAUAGAAAGAAACUAAAACAGCCUGGAUGCCCAGAAUUGGCUGUUAACUUCUCACAAAACAAGAGGCCUGCUGCGUAAAGCUGAGUUGAACUACCUUCCCCCUCUCCCAUCUGAUGAAAACAAACUUUGGAGAGACUGAGAAUAGAGCUUCUCAGUGACAUCAAGGAAAAUCGGAAAGCUGUUCUGAUGGCCAGAACCUUUUCCUCUCAGACAGGAAAUAGUUGAGGACAGCCCUCCUGUACACGACCUGUUGCAGAGAUGGCCAGCCCUUUUUGAUGUCAUUCAGAUGAAAGAAGAAUUCAGAAGGUUGACAGCCAUUGAUUUGGAAUCAGAGUUCUAUUCUAACCUAGACAAAUAUACAGAUAGACUCCUCAGUUUAUACCACUCCAAGGGAGGAAAUGCUGCAAGUAAAAUGCAUGAUUUGCUGAUGCUGCUGGACCAGUAAGGAUGCUGGUGUGGACGACCGUAGAAAUGUAGUGAUUCGUGGCUUGAAGGUACACUUCUCUGAAAAUGCUGAGCACCUCAUCACACACUACCAGGUUAGUGUAGUACAGUGUACAUCCACCACACCUUUUCCCUGUCAUGUGUAGUACAGGUGGAUCCUGAAGUGCCUCUGUUACCACUACAGAUGUGAUUUAAUCUGGCCUCAUCAAAUUUCACAAAUCCAUAGGUCAAGAACUAAACUACAAAGCAGGCUCAGACUUUACAAACUGGCACAUUACGUAAUUAAAAUAUUUGGUCCAGAUGACCCUGCAUGGUCAAAGUAUAUCCUUAAAAUUGCCAAAAUUUAAUUAAUAAUUAAAUGUUUAGCUCUCAGAAACAGAUAUUUCACCUUUCAAUUUGAUGGAAACAAAUAAAUCCUAAGGCACAUUGUUGUCAUCCCCAUUAAAACACUUUGAUUUUGUUGUAUAGAAUAACUGUAAAGGUACCAAUAUGCAGAAUUUGAGCCUACUAGGUGGUUUAGUUAUUGAUAAAUGAUUUUGAGAAGUUUAUCAAAAGCUCAGGCUGUCACUCUGACACCCCUCUCCCAUCACAGAAUUGGCUGCAUGGGUACACAUGGUAUUUAUUCUGAAUUUUUGAGACUGAAAUGUGUAGGAUUUAUGGAAAAUUGGUUGAUUUGAUGUGGAAUAACCCUGUAGUUAUUGCUAUCACAAUAUUUUUCCACUCAGUUUUUUGUAAUGACCUUCAUUUCAAAUCUUAUAGUGUGACACAUGGCUCGUCCAAUCUUCAUGUGUGCCACGCCCCCUGAUCAUCCACGUGAGCUUCCCAGAUCAUGCCCAGCUGUUUCCGGUUAUUUUCGGCUUGUCUUUUUUAUAUCAGUCCACGUCUUGCCCUGUCUAAUGUCGGUCAUUGUUGUAACAUGCGUCUCUAUACCCCACGUCAGCUCUAAUAAACCCUCGUUUGCCCGUAUUCCGCCUACAUGCCUUGUCCUUCGCCGCUUCCAGCCCGCCCGUCCUCCAUGGUGCCUAACAGAAUGACUGACCGCCAAGCCAAUACGCCGCAGCAGACCGAGAGCCAACGUCUCGGUCUGCUGCAAGAGGUGACCUAUUGGCUCAAACAGCCCGAGGUCCAGGAGGACCCGGUGGCGCUGGAAGUGGUCGAGCAGAGCGGCAACCUCCUGGCGCGGAUGUCCCCGGCUGGAGACGCGUACCUGUUAGCGGAGAGUGGCAGCACCCGUUUUUACCAUGCCUGAUCUGCCUGUCCUGCUGGCACCUGAUCUGCCUGUGCUUCCUGCAUCCACUGCGCCCCCUGCUGGACCCAAGUCGGCGGCUGCAGCACCGCCCGAGGCCCCUCUGCCUCUGCCUGAGCUGCCGUCCGCGGCACUACCCAAGCUUCCGCCUCCACCCGAGCCGCCGCCUCCACCCGUGGCUCCGGCUGCCUCUGUGAUCAUUGUCUCUGUGGCCCAAGUCCCAGUGCCUGACCCUACUCCAGUCCCUCCAGCUCUAGUCCAUGAGGAGGUCCCGGACAAGCUGACCAUCGUUCCUUCCUCCUUGGAGGAGGAGGAGCUCGAAUAGGACUCCUUGGGGACCUCCCUGAUGACUUCUCUUCCCUCGCCCCAGCGAGGUCGAUCCCUACCUGAGCUCCACAUGUCUGUGUCCCGGAAAGGAAGAGGACACAGGAUACUCAUGGCGAACUGAACCCUGAUGACCUGAAACACCACACUCUAAAGAUUGUAACCAAAGAGAGCUCUGCAGAUGGCAGUCCGUUAGAGGCAGGGAAUAUUUUGGAGGGGAUACAGGUGAUUGCAGGAUUACAAUGUAUCACAAAUGCAUGUGCCAUCCUUCUUCACCUGAUGUAUGUUCUUAAUCUGAGCUAUCCCAAGCCACUGAGAUACAUAUUUGAAUUCUUCCAUAAACCUCUACUGGAAUUCAACAGUGGGAACCUGUCCCUAAAGAUGCUCUCUUUAAAGAACAAUCUGUUGGCAUACAGUACAUGUAUGGUAAACAGUGAUAUGGUUGAAAAUGCAGCCACAUACUUCCACAUCAGACCUCUAAGAUCUUGGAAGAUCACUAUUUUUUUUUCUUAUUUUUCCAUUGAUAAAGGGUUUGUUUUAUUUUAUUGUGUUAUUAGUUUAUGGCAGUGAGGACGUUUUUUUAACUGAUAAUGUAGCAUACUGUUAUGUUUUUCAGUUAAAACUUAAGAGGUGGGCAGUGAUUAAGGGGAUUUUACUACAUUGUAAGUUUGUGUUUGAGUUGCAAACAUACUUAUGUACCAGAACGGUAACAUUUUUGUUUUGAGUUAUAAGAAAAAUGGUGAUUUUUUUAAAUUUUAUUUUCAUUGGCUGUUAAAGGAAAGGCUGUAUACCAUUUUGUAUUUUCAGAAAAUAAAUUAAUAUAGAUUUGAAGUUGAAGACUUA